UGGUUGACCUCGGAUCAGGUAGGGAUACCCGCUGAACUUAAGCAUAUCAAUAA
RNAcentral lists this ribosomal RNA (53 nucleotides) under Porpidia albocaerulescens. RNAcentral's name for it is "partial 28S ribosomal RNA". Lineage: Eukaryota; Fungi; Ascomycota; Lecanoromycetes; Lecideales; Lecideaceae. The record is from RNAcentral.